CGCCGCGGCAUGCCUUACACAUGCAAGUCAACGGCAGCACGGGAGCAAUCCUGGUGGCGAGUGGCGAACGGGUGAGUAAUAUAUCGGAACGUGCCCAGUCGUGGGGGAUAACGUAGCGAAAGCUACGCUAAUACCGCAUACGAUCUAUGGAUGAAANCGGGGGAUCGCAAGACCUCGCGCGAUUGGAGCGGCCGAUAUCAGAUUAGGUAGUUGGUGAGGUAAAGGCUCACCAAGCCGACGAUCUGUAGCUGGUCUGAGAGGACGACCAGCCACACUGGGACUGAGACACGGCCCAGACUCCUACGGGAGGCAGCAGUGGGAAUUUUGGACAAUGGGCGCAAGCCUGAUCCAGCAAUGCCGCGUGCAGGAUGAAGGCCUUCGGGUUGUAAACUGCUUUUGUACGGAACGAAACGGUGAGCUCUAAUACAGUUUGCUAAUGACGGUACCGUAAGAAUAAGCACCGGCUAACUACGUG
This 475-nucleotide ribosomal RNA is filed under the name uncultured bacterium. RNAcentral describes it as "bacterial SSU rRNA". It matches the Rfam family "Bacterial small subunit ribosomal RNA", at positions 39 to 507 of the family's 1533-position model. The record is from RNAcentral.